GUCCUUUAGAAUUUAAUUUAAGGUCUAACCUGCCCACUGAAAAUUAUUUUAAAUGGCCGCAGUAAUUUGACUGUGCAAAGGUAGCAUAAUCAUUAGUUUUUUAAUUGAAAGCUUGUAUGAAGGGUUGGACGAGGUAAAAUCUGUCUCUAAUAAAUUUAAUUUAGAAUUUAACUUUUAAGUUAAAAGGCUUAAAUAAUAUUAAAAGACGAGAAGACCCUAUAGAUCUUUAUAAUUAAAAUAUUAAAUUUAAUUAGGAAUUUUUAAAAUUUUAUUUAUUUAAUUAUUUUAUUGGGGUAAUAUAAAGAUUUAAGUAAUUCUUUUUUUUUAUUUACAUAAAUUUAUGAGUUUUUGAUCCAGUUAUAUUGAUUAUAAGAUUAAGUUACCUUAGGGAUAACAGCGUAAUUUUUUUUGAGAGUUCUUAUCGAUAAAAAAGUUUGCGACCUCGAUGUUGGAUUAAAGAUUAUUUCAGGUGCAGAAGUUUGAAAAUUUUGGUCUGUUCGACCAUUAAAUCUUUACAUGAUCUGAGUUCAGACCGGCGUAAGCCAGGUCGGUUUCUAUCUUUAAUAAAUUAUAAUAUUUUAGUACGAAAGGACCAAUUAUUUGAUACAAAGUAUUUUAAUUUUGAUUAUUAUUA
RNAcentral lists this ribosomal RNA (634 nucleotides) under Nebria rubripes. RNAcentral describes it as "partial large subunit ribosomal RNA". It matches the Rfam family "Bacterial large subunit ribosomal RNA", at positions 1829 to 2735 of the family's 2925-position model. The record is from RNAcentral. Lineage: Eukaryota; Metazoa; Arthropoda; Insecta; Coleoptera; Carabidae.